AACGAACGCUAUCGGUAUGCUUAACACAUGCAAGUCGGACGGACUAAUUAGGGCUUGCUCCAAUCAGUUAGUGGCAGACGGGUGAGUAACACGUGGGAAUCUGCCCAUCAGUACGGAAUAACUUUUAGAAAUAAAAGCUAAUACCGUAUAUUCUCUACAGAGGAAAGAUUUAUCGCUGAUGGAUGAGCCCGCGUCAGAUUAGGUAGUUGGUGAGGUAACGGCUCACCAAGCCGACGAUCUGUAGCUGGUCUGAGAGGAUGAUCAGCCACACUGGGACUGAGACACGGCCCAGACUCCUACGGGAGGCAGCAGUGGGGAAUAUUGGACAAUGGGCGAAAGCCUGAUCCAGCAAUACCGAGUGAGUGAUAAAGGCCCUAGGGUGGUAAAGCUCCUUUAGCAAGGAAGAUAAUGACGUUACUUGCAGAAAAAGCCCCGGCUAACUCCGUG
RNAcentral lists this ribosomal RNA (447 nucleotides) under uncultured bacterium. RNAcentral's name for it is "partial 16S ribosomal RNA". It matches the Rfam family "Bacterial small subunit ribosomal RNA", at positions 29 to 507 of the family's 1533-position model. The record is from RNAcentral.